GAAAAAUUUAUUUAAUUUAGUUGUUAAUUUUAUAUAUUAAUUAAAGUAUUAUAAUUUUUUUUAUAUUUAUAGAUAAAAUUUUUAUUAUAAUAGUGAAUUAGUAAAGUGAUUGAAAAUUGAAAUAAAUUGAAAUAUUUAAAAUUUAAGAAAGAAGAUUUUAAUUAUUGUACCUUGUGUAUCAGGGUUUAUUAAAUAAAAUUUAUAGAUUUAAGUUUCUCGAAUUUAAAAGAGCUAAGAAAUUAAAAAUUUUAUUGUGAAAAAAAUAUUUUAAAUAAUUUUUUGGUAAUGAAAUGUUAGUCGUUUUUAAAUUUAUCUAGUUUUUUAAGAAAUAAAUUUAAUUUAGUUAAUUAUUUAAUAAUUAAGAUAAUUAUUUAUUUUAAUUUAAUAAUUAAUUAAUAUUUUAAGGGAUAAGCUUUAAAGUAAAGUUUAAUAAAUAAAUAUUUAAUUAUAAAAUUUAUAGAAGUGAAAGUAUUAACUUAUUUUAGUGUUUUAUAACAAGUUUUAUUUAAAUUAUAAUUUAUAUUUAUUUUUAAUUUUUUAUUAAAAUGAUUAAUUUAAUUUAAAAUUUAAUGUAUUAAUGAUAAAAUUAGUAUAAAUAAAAUGUUUAUAUAAUUUAAUUUUUAAGGUUAAUUUAAGGAAUUCGGCAAAUUUAAUUUUUCGCCUGUUUAUUAAAAACAUGUCUUUUUGAUUAUAAUUUAAAGUCUGACCUGCUCUAUGAUUAAUUUAAAUGGCCGCGAUAUUUUGAUCGUGCAAAGGUAGCAUAAUCAUUAGUUUCUUAAUUAGGAACUGGAAUGAAAGGUUGAACGAAAAAGUUACUGUCUCAAUUUAAUUGGAUUAGAAUUUUAUUUUUAAGUAAAAAAGCUUAAAUAUAUUUAAAAGACGAGAAGACCCUAUAGAGUUUUAUAAUUAAUUUAUAGUAUUUAAAAUUUAGUAUUUUUUUUAUUUAUUUUAGAUUAAUUAUUUGGUUGGGGUGAUUAAAAAAUUUAAAAAACUUUUUUUAUUUAAAACAUUGAUUUAUGAAUAUAUGAUCCAUUAUUAAUGAUUAUUAGAUAAAAUUACCUUAGGGAUAACAGCGUAAUUUUUUUUGAGAGUUCAUAUCGAAAAAAAAGAUUGCGACCUCGAUGUUGGAUUAAAAUUUACUUAUGGUGUAGGUGUUAUAGGGUUAGGUCUGUUCGACCUUUAAAAUUUUACAUGAUCUGAGUUUAAACCGGUGUGAGCCAGGUUGGUUUCUAUCUUUAAAUAAGUAAAAUAUUUUAGUACGAAAGGAUUAAAUAUUUAUAAUAAUUAUUUUUUAAAGAUUAUUAUUAAUUACUUUGACAGAAUAGUGUGUUAAAUUUAGAAUUUAUUUAUGUAUAUAGGUUAUACA
RNAcentral lists this ribosomal RNA (1366 nucleotides) under Euoniticellus intermedius. RNAcentral describes it as "16S ribosomal RNA". The stretch from base 1066 to 1224 matches the Rfam family "Archaeal large subunit ribosomal RNA", at positions 2542 to 2701 of the family's 2987-position model. The record is from RNAcentral. Lineage: Eukaryota; Metazoa; Arthropoda; Insecta; Coleoptera; Scarabaeidae.